GACGUAGGGUCCAAGCGUUGUUCGGAAUUACUGGGCGUAAAGCGCACGUAGGCGGCUUUGUAAGUUAGAGGUGAAAGCCCGGAGCUCAACUCCGGAAUUGCCUUUAAGACUGCAUCGCUCGAAUCAUGGAGAGGUGAGUGGAAUUCCGAGUGUAGAGGUGAAAUUCGUAGAUAUUCGGAAGAACACCAGUGGCGAAGGCGACUCACUGGACAUGUAUUGACGCUGAGGUGCGAAAGCGUGGGGAGCAAACAGG
Molecule: ribosomal RNA, 253 nt
Filed under: uncultured bacterium
Lineage: Bacteria
Description: partial 16S ribosomal RNA
Rfam family: Bacterial small subunit ribosomal RNA
Source: RNAcentral